This 210-nucleotide long non-coding RNA is filed under the name Mytilus galloprovincialis (Mediterranean mussel). The record is from RNAcentral. Lineage: Eukaryota; Metazoa; Mollusca; Bivalvia; Mytilida; Mytilidae.
AAUGUCUCUUAUCAGUAGCGUAGGGUUCACCACAGUCAGGUCACUUUGAUUUUGUUCUUGUUAAGAAAUAUGAUCUGGUCAACAAUUUCAGACGAAAGACUAGUACUGUUUGGCUUUCUAUUUUUUGAUACAAGUAGUGACCAUGAAAACAUUGCCUCGGAAGGAAAGGACGUUGCUGGUAUUACUAUAACAAAUAGUAUCCUCAGGACA